RNAcentral lists this ribosomal RNA (472 nucleotides) under uncultured organism. Its description in RNAcentral is "partial 16S ribosomal RNA". It matches the Rfam family "Bacterial small subunit ribosomal RNA", at positions 333 to 797 of the family's 1533-position model. The record is from RNAcentral.
ACACUCCUGCGGGAGGCAGCAGUGGGGAAUAUUGCACAAUGGGCGCAAGCCUGAUGCAGCCAUGCCGCGUGUAUGAAGAAGGCCUUCGGGUUGUAAAGUACUUUCAGCGGGGAGGAAGGCAAUACGGUUAAUAACCGUGUUGAUUGACGUUACCCGCAGAAGAAGCACCGGCUAACUCCGUGCCAGCAGCCGCGGUAAUACGGAGGGUGCAAGCGUUAAUCGGAAUUACUGGGCGUAAAGCGCACGCAGGCGGUCUGUCAAGUCGGAUGUGAAAUCCCCGGGCUCAACCUGGGAACUGCAUUCGAAACUGGCAGGCUUGAGUCUUGUAGAGGGGGGUAGAAUUCCAGGUGUAGCGGUGAAAUGCGUAGAGAUCUGGAGGAAUACCGGUGGCGAAGGCGGCCCCCUGGACAAAGACUGACGCUCAGGUGCGAAAGCGUGGGGAGCAAACAGGAUUAGAUACCCUAGUAGUCCC